RNAcentral lists this ribosomal RNA (493 nucleotides) under uncultured bacterium. RNAcentral's name for it is "partial 16S ribosomal RNA". It matches the Rfam family "Bacterial small subunit ribosomal RNA", at positions 29 to 507 of the family's 1533-position model. The record is from RNAcentral.
ACGAACGCUGGCGGCGUGCCUAAUACAUGCACGUCGAGCGGACUUAAAAAGCUUGCUUUUUAAGUUAGCGGCGGACGGGUGAGUAACACGUGGGCAACCUGCCUGUAAGACUGGGAUAACUUCGGGAAACCGGAGCUAAUACCGGAUAAUCCUUUUCUACUCAUGUAGAAAAGCUGAAAGACGGUUUACGCUGUCACUUACAGAUGGGCCCGCGGCGCAUUAGCUAGUUGGUGAGGUAACGGCUCACCAAGGCGACGAUGCGUAGCCGACCUGAGAGGGUGAUCGGCCACACUGGGACUGAGACACGGCCCAGACUCCUACGGGAGGCAGCAGUAGGGAAUCUUCCGCAAUGGACGAAAGUCUGACGGAGCAACGCCGCGUGAGUGAUGAAGGUUUUCGGAUCGUAAAACUCUGUUGUUAGGGAAGAACAAGUACGAGAGUAACUGCUCGUACCUUGACGGUACCUAACCAGAAAGCCACGGCUAACUACGUG